RNAcentral lists this long non-coding RNA (3398 nucleotides) under Setaria viridis. Its description in RNAcentral is "long non-coding RNA (SVIR_LNC005926)". Lineage: Eukaryota; Viridiplantae; Streptophyta; Magnoliopsida; Poales; Poaceae. The record is from RNAcentral.
CCCGCUGCCCCUCACUCCGAAUCGCCAUGGCUCUCGCCGUCCGCACGCCCCGCUGCCAGCCGCGGCCGACCUCCAUUUCCGCACCCGCCUCCGCCUCCACCUCCACCUCCCUCGCCGCCGCGAACGCGAGGCCCCGCCCCGGCGCCGCCGUCCGCGCCUCCGCCGCCUCGCCCUUCACCGAGGCCACCUCCUCCUCGCGCUACCGCCGCGAUGCCUGGUCCUACGCCGCCGACGGCUCCUCCAGCCCCGCGUCGUCGUCGUCGUCGCCCUCCGAUGCCGCCGCCGCCGCCGCCGCGGCGGGCCGCCGGGACGACGAGAUCGCGCUGCAGCUGCCGGAGCUGCGGAGGCUCCUGGACGCGCUGAGGGCUUCCAGGGGGAGGAGCGCCGAGGGGGAGGGCGGCGGCGGUGGGCCUGGGAGGGUGGCGCUGGUCGGGACGGGACCCGGGGACCCCGAGCUGCUCACGCUCAAGGCCGUCCGUGCCAUCGAGGUCGCGGACCUGGUGCUCUACGACCGGCUGGUGUCCAACGACGUGCUGGACUUGGUCGGGGAGGGCGCAAGGCUUCUAUACGUCGGCAAGACGGCGGGAUACCACAGCCGCACACAGGUGAGUAAUGCUGUGCCGUCGAUUCAAUUGCGAUCAAUUGAUACACGCUGUUAGAAAUGCUAAUUGGGUGUGCAUUCGGCAAUUAACAUUUAAAGUACAUUAUUAUUAUUUUAACAAUGCAUCAGAUAGCUUUCAUGAAGCAAAACAGAGCAUGCCAUAUUUCUGUCUAAAAAACCAGUGAACUGAGGUGGCCUAAGUUUAGGAGUUAGGAGUUUGUACCUUUUCUUCCCCUUGUUGCUAAUUUGUAUGCCUGAUGGCUGAUUGAUGCAAUGUAGGAGGAGAUUCAUGAGCUGCUCCUCAGCUUUGCGGAGGCUGGUGCCAAUGUGGUGCGGUUGAAAGGCGGCGAUCCUCUGGUAAUCUGUCAAUCCUUAUUUCAAACCUACUUAUCUGUUGAGAAUUCAUGUGACAAUUCCAGUUGCUAGCCUAGCUCAAACAUUAAACUACUUAGUAAACUUUGCUAUUGGUCGUAUCAUGUUCAUCCGCAUUGAGUAACUUUUUGAGUAAAGAUAGUGAUCCAUUCUUAGUCUGCUUUAAUUUUUUUUUCAAGUAAUGAAUCCAUACAAAUUGAUGGUCUCAUACUGACCAGUAUUGGUAUCAUCAGUAUAUAUUGGUUGUAGUUUGUCACUCUUCAAAGCAGAAAAUCAUCCAAGCUAACCUCUUUUUAGGUUACUGCAUGGCUUUUCACAUAAAGUUCUUAAACUUGGAAAUAAACAAGAUUAGUAGGAUGGAAAUAGAUCAAGCAUCGUUCAAGUUUUGGGCUUGCAGUUUGCACAUUAAUGUUGAUGAACCCAGUCCUCAUCUAACUUGUCCAGUUAUCAAUGCAGAAAUAUUCUUAUUGAAAUAAUCUGGCAUAAAUCGAUGAAGAACAGUAAAUGAUGUCGUGUAUUUAAUCUGUAUAGUAGUAACUGGAAUUUUCUUUGAUUUUCCGUUUUCAUUCAUUUUGCCAAAAGGAUUUCUAUUCUUAUGGGUAGUACAUGAAAGGGGAUUAGCAUAACUGCAUAACAUAUUAACAGAAAGAAUAGAGGGGUCAUAGGGUUACCUGCAAUUGCAUUUGUUUUCUUAACACAACAGAGGCAAGGAAAGUAGUAAAAAUACUAGAAAAUUUAUUAUAUUUGUGCACACAGUGUUUUACUGCAUCAGAGAACUAAUUGGCAUUGCAUAUGAGCAUCUACCUUUACCUUGGAAGACAUUUAUAGGCCCUAAAUUCACUUUGUAUUCCUUUCAGGUCUUUGGAAGAGGUGGAGAAGAGAUGGAUUUCUUACAGCAGCAAGGGAUUAGAGUUGAAAUUAUCCCAGGUAUGAUAAGCCCACUAUGGAAUCUGGAUAAUUUGCAGUUUUGGUUGGUUCCAGUUAUGAAUUGCUUGGAUCAAACCUCUGCAGGAAUUACUUCUGCUUCAGGAAUUGCAGCAGAACUAGGCAUUCCACUAACCCAUCGAGGUGUUGCUACCAGGUAAGCUUAGUAUUUUGCACUUGCAUCUCUACCUAACUAACAUUCAUAUGGAGCUUCUGGUCAUGCCAAAAGGUUUUGCUCUUUAUAGAGAACUCCUUUCUCAAAAUUGCUCUUGUGCAAACUUCACCAUUAGUGCUCAGUCUUUGGUUUAGGAGCUGCAGCACCUCCUCAAAUGCAUUUUUGCAAUUAGCAUAUAUGUUUGAUUUAGGAUAAGGAUUUUCUUGGCAGUAGUGUUGAGGCUUCAAGCUUUUAAGUGCUUGCUGUUUCCUUGACCAUACAUGUAUAUGCUGCGUAGUCAGAGGGUUCAAUAUUAUUUUUCUGCAUUUGAUUAUCUCUUUGUUUUGAUGUUCUGUGACUAAUGAUGUAGCAUUUUUUUAAGAAAAAAAUGCCUUAGUGAGGUGAAUGGCACUACUAUGCCAAAAGGCUAUAAUGUUUGGCUCUGUCACCUCUCGUAUUGAUAAAUGAGCAGAAAGACACUAGUUCCUUUCUGAUGUUGUAUUGUACAGUUUCAAAAAAUUUCGAAGUGCUUAGCAGGAUAUUCUUUGACAUACAAUCCUUUCUGUAGUGUCAGAUUUUUAACUGGGCACUCUAGAAAUGGUGGGACAGAUCCUCUAUAUGUGGCAGGGAAUGCAGCUGAUCCAGACACCACUUUAGUUGUGUACAUGGGUUUGUCAACACUGCCAUCCCUUGCUCCAAAGUUAAUGAAGCACGGCCUUCCACCAGAUACCCCUGCUGUUGCCGUAGAGCGUGGCACUACCCCUCAACAACGAAUGGUACUGACUCAUAUGCCCUCACUAACUAAACUGUGUUUAACUAUACAUGCUCAAUAUUUCUUGUUCUGUAGGUAUUCGCAUUGUUAAAGGAUCUCGUAGAUGAAGUCAAGUUGGCUGAUCUAGUUUCUCCGACUCUAAUAAUUAUUGGAAAAGUGGUGGCCUUGUCACCCUUUUGGGUUGAACCAUCUGAACAUGAUGCACUGAAGACCGAGAACUCAUACGCAAGUGAGGCCAGAUGAUAGCAGCCUUUCCUGAAUUAAGUGCUUGGACAGUCCUUUGCAAAUUUCCAGACAUGAGCAAUUCUAAUUGAGAUCUAAGGUUGUCUGAUCUGGUUUAGUUCGGGUCAUAUGAGCAGAGUUUUGACGCCCCUUGAAAUUUCAGGAAGCAUGAAAUCUGAAUUAUGGACGGCAGCUUUAUACACAGGAAGCCCAUAAACAACCUUGGAGCCGCAGCGUACUUGAACGGGUGGCACCUCACAGUGUGGACUACUCUACCUGAGAUCUGCAAUCGUAGGUUUAUUUGAGUUUGGCAAUAGUUGUGGGAGGAGGUGUUGGUUUUCUGAAUUGUCAUU